RNAcentral lists this long non-coding RNA (5017 nucleotides) under Brassica napus (rape). Its description in RNAcentral is "long non-coding RNA (BNAP_LNC006603)". Lineage: Eukaryota; Viridiplantae; Streptophyta; Magnoliopsida; Brassicales; Brassicaceae. The record is from RNAcentral.
GGUGUUAGUGGCUAUUUGAUCAACACACGAUGGCAGAAGAAUUUCUGGCUUUUGGCCUAAUCACAGUCUCUAAUCUUAGCAGCCAUAGAUUGGAUAAUUAUCUUUUGUCUUAUAAGCUGUGUACCUCUUUGUAGUCCCAUGUGUUAACGCUGUGUCUUGUAAGAAAUUAAACAAAAUAUUUGUAUCCCGUUUGAUCCAUUCCAUCUUAUUUAGAACGCUGAUCCAAUAUCUUAAAUGUUCUAUAGUUUUCUUAUAAGAAUAUGUUUUUCAUAUGUUUACUUAAUAUCUCAAUAUUAUACUCUCUCUGUUCCCGAAACAAAGAUUUUAUAGAAUAUUCACGCAUAUUAAAAACAUAAUAAAUAUUUAUAGUUAAAUUUAUUAUUUAUUUCACUAUACAUUUUCCAAUAACUAUCAGUCAAUAGUAUUUAAUCAAUUCAAAUAUUUUCGAUUAAUGUUUUUUAAAAGUAUACAAUUUAUCAACAUUAACUACUUAAAACUACUUUAAAAUUCUAGAAAAUCUAUACUUUUAGGAACGGACGGAGUAUAUAAUAAUCAUAAAAGAUGGACUUGCAAAAACUAAAUAAUCUUUAUAUAUAUAUAAAAAGGAUGGAAUUGCAAAAAAAAAAAAUCAUAUAUAAUAAUCUUUAAUUUGUAAAAUAGAGUUUUGAAAUAAAACAAUUUAUAAAAUAACUUCACCAAAUUAACCUAUUAAAAUAUUAUAAUAGUUUAUUAUGAACACUUAACUAUAGAAGAAUGUUGUAUAAUUAUUCAUCAAAAUUACAAUUCCUUUUCCGAGUUUCUAAAUAAAUAUUUUAAAAAAUAACUUAUAUAUAUAUAUGAGGAUUUUCCAAAUAUGACUCAACACUUGAUUUUAAAUACAAAACUAUACCCAAACUUGAAUCAAAUGCAAAACUAACCCAAAAGCACUGUGAAAUUACAGCCAGCCCCUUGUGACCAAACAAAAAAACAGAACUCAUUUUUACGAAUAUAUUCCCAAAAAGUCGAAUGAGUCUUCUGAGAUACUGUAAGUCGUCUAGACGACUUCCAGUGAAGUCUUCUGGUGUACUCGAUCUUAAAAAUAAUUUAUAAUUUUUUAAAAAAAUAUUUUGACAAGUGAAAAAUUAAAAUCAUGUAAUUAUAAACAGUUUUUAAUAAUAUAAAUUAAGAUAUAAUAAUAUUGAAUAGUUUUCAACAUAGAUGAGUGAAAGUAGUUAAUCAUGAUAUUCUUUGGCUUAGGGUUUGACAACAAAUGUUGUAGUAUUGUAUGUAUUCUUAGGGUUAGAUUUUGGAUUAAAUGUUUUUUUUUGAAUAAUUAAAUUUUUACCUACAUGUGUUUAUUUCUGUGUAUAGUAAACACUUUUUAAGUUUAGUUUGAUUUUAUGAAAUAUUUAGUUAGUUAAUUUAGUUUAGGGGUUAUGUUUAGGGUCUCGAUGACUAACAUGUAAGUCGUCUGGCGAUUUGAAGACUUCUCUGAAAGUCUUCUAACUCCCGCUAAAAAUAUUUUAAUUUUCCGCUAAAAAUAUAUUAGUUUCCCGCUAAAAAUAUUGAAGUCUUUUGGGCGACUUACAAGUAAGUCGUCUAGUAAGCAUUUUAUUAGAUAACUUACUUGAAAGUCUUCUGAAUCGAAAAUAUUUAAUCAUAUUGGAAUUUUUGUCUCCAUAUAUAAAGAAAAAUUUACAUAUUCUCUCUCCUCCUCUCAAAAGGCUUCAACAAAAAUGGUAUGUUCCUCAUUUUAAAACUCUCCAACCUCUAUGUAAUCUCUUUGAACUUAUAAACACCAAACUUUAUAUCAAUUUAUUGUUUUUGUCUCAUGUCUUUCUCACUAGUUUAUCUUGUUUUGCAGGUUUUUCAUCACAUGGUUCUCAUCACAUGGUUCUCAUCUUCCACUCAUUUAAAGGUAGAUCUAUUAAUAUUAGAUAUGUAUUUUUGUAUGUUCUAUAGAGGUAGAUCUAUCUAAUCUUCCACUCAUUUUCUUUGUUUUUAAGUCAUUUCAACGUUUUUGGAUAUGCAUGUUUUUCAGAUCUGGAUUUGGAUAUGUUGGUUUUUCAUUCAGUAGCCAAAAUAUUGAUUAAUAUACAUGAAUUAACAAAAAAAUGUUAAAAAUUCUUUAUAGUUUUAAAUAGAAUGAAAGUUUAUUAAACAUUGACGCAGACGACUUCCACGGAGGUCAUUUGGCAGACUUCUAAAAAGUCGUCCAUUUAGGUUAGUUUUGCAAUUGAUUUUAACCUAGACGAUUUACAUGUAAGUCGUCUAGGGAAAACAUGUUAGUUUUGCAUUUGACUGGACUCUGUCAGAAAUUUGACUUUUCCUGGACGACUUACGUGUAAGUCGUCCAAUAGAAAAUUAAAAAAUCAAUAUUUUGUUUUACCUAGACGAGUUACAUGGGUUAGUUUUGCAAUGGAAAAAUAAAACAAAAAACAAUAUUUUUUUGUAGACGACUUACACGGAAGUCGUCCGUCCGACAACUUACAUGGAAGCCGUCCAAGAUAAGCAAGGUUUGACCAGAAUCUCAGAAUAAAAUCAUGACAACUUCAAUGUAAGUCGUCGGUCCGACUUCAAUGUAAGUCGGUCCGACUUCCGUGUAAAUCGUCUAGAAAAAAUAUUUUUUUUGUUUUAUUUUUCAAUUGCAAAACUAACCUGAGACGACUUAUAUGGAAGUCGUCUAGGUAUAACAAAAUAUUUAUUUUUAAUUUACUACAGGACAACUUACGUGUAAGUCGUCCAGAAAAAGUCAAAUUUCUCACACAAUGCGGUCAAAUGCAAAACUAGCUCGUUUACCCUAGACGACUUACAUAGAAGUCGUCUUGAAUUUUUUUUUUAACAAACAACGAUGGACGACUUCCAUGAAAGUCCACUAUAAAAACACAUUUAAAAGUCAAUUGCAAAACUAACAUCUGCAUUAACCAAAAGACUUCCAUGUAAGUCGUCUACAGCCAGACGACUUACAUGUAAGUUGUCUGGACGAACAGAUCUGGGAAAAAAAAACUGAUUUCAUAGUUUCAGACGCACUAAGUUAGUUAGAAACAAGUGGAGAAAAGAGAGCUUGUUAGAAGAAACUGCCCCAGUAGCUGAAAGUGAUCCAAAGUGUUAUUAGAAACUUGUAAACUGCCUUAGAAUGUAAUUUUCUCUAUUUUAUUAUGGGCAUGUGACUCAGCCUUAAUGCCCUGUCGCUCACUAUUUAUUAACAGCAGCAAUUACUCUCUCUCGCUUCUUUCUCUUUCCAUUUCGCUGUGUCAAGUUUAAACCAAAGCCUCUUCACUUUUACCCUAUAAUAGUCUCCUACUACCUACACUUUCUCGCUCUUGAUCCACACUACUUACAAAAUGCAAUUUUCAAGAAACUCAAUACUUAGACAACGAAGCAGAAAAGAAGGUUGGAGGUCGGCUUCUAAAAGGUGGACAUCCGGAGAUAGUUCAACGGCCUUCACCGACGCAACAAGCUGUGGUGGUGGUUACUCUUCAAUGGAGGGUCUUUAUGGGGUCUACUCAAAUGGAGAUACAGCAACCAGAAGCAAGAGGGUGAUGGUUGUGGUGGAUGAGACUUCGAGGUCGAAACAUGCCAUGAUGUGGGCUUUGACGCAUUUGACUAAUAAGGGAGAUUUGAUGACUCUUCUCCACGUUGUGUCUCCUCAUGAUGAAGCUUCUCCUUCUUUGGUUCAAUCACUUGGUUCUCUUUGCAAAGCUUGUAAACCCGAGGUAACUUACUGUAACGUAUUUUCUGUAAGAUUUUUGAAUAAAUAAAUUCUUAAAAUCUUGAUUGGUUGAUUGGUAAGUUUUAAUAACAAAAGCCAAGAAUUUAAAUUAAAAGUCUAGCAAUGCACAUUUGGGUUUCAAUUUUUUGUUUUUAUACUAUAAUGUAAGAUGUGUUGGCUGACAAAAAAAUGUGUUGAACUACUUGAGUAGUGCAUGCGUUAGUGUUGGAGAUGAGAAAAAAAUGCAGAGAACUGGUCUCUGCAAAGUUUCUAAUUGAUUCCACUGGCUCCUCCCCUUUUUUAUAUUUUUAAAAGAAAAUGGAUGUGAAAAGUAUUUUCAUCAUUUCUGAUUGUAAGCUUUUUUCAGUUAAAGAUCCAACUUAUUUUCCUAGUUCAGAUCUAAUGGUUAAGAAAAUGGUUUUAUAUCUUAGUUGAAGUAUAGACUGGUAUUGUUGGUACAUAAACAGUUGUUACUUAAAAAGGGUACUUACCCAUUUUAAAUUAUCUUAAAUAGGAUUUCGGAAGGAAAGUUUUUCGAAAACAUCCAACAUGUAAUCAGGUAUAGUUUUUCGUAAAUUUUGAUAUUUUAAUUGCAUUCUCGAGAUAUUUCUAAUUUUAUAAUUUGCCUUGGCUUAAUCGUAAUUAGUUACCUAAAGAUUCCUUGAGAUUUUUAUAGUACUUUGGAGAAGUAAGAAGUGCUAAUACUUAUCUCUUUUUUGCAUCAACAAAUGUAUUAUAGUGGAUUUGACAAAGAUUUUAUGGUAAUUAUCUUUUAAGGUGGAUGUGGAGGCGUUGGUGGUUCAAGGACCAAAGUUAGCAACUAUACUCAGCCAAGUGAAGAAACUUGACGUCACUGUUCUUGUUUUGGGUCAGAAGAAAUCUGCACCAUUCAUCUCCUGGUGCGUCAUCUCAACCGUCAGAUCUCUUUCCUCAUCAUCAUGAUACUCUCGUUCCUCAUCAUCAUGAUACUCUCGUUCUAAUAAUUACUUUCAUUUUCUUGUCGUUUUGUACGUAGCUUACGUGGACCCAGUAGAUCUGAGGAGCUCGUGAAUCGAUGCAUCAACGGUGCAGAUUGUUUGACGAUUGGUGUGAGGAAACAAAGCAACGGUGUUAGUGGCUAUUUGAUCAACACACGAUGGCAGAAGAAUUUCUGGCUUUUGGCCUAAUCACAGUCUCUAAUCUUAGCAGCCAUAGAUUGGAUAAUUAUCUUUUGUCUUAUAAGCUGUGUACCUCUUUGUAGUCCCAUGUGUUAACGCUGUGUCUUGUAAGAAAUUAAACAAAAUAUUUGUAUCCCGUUUGAUCCAUUCCAUCUUAUUUAGAACGCUG